UAAACGGCGGCCGUAACUAUAACGGUCCUAAGGUAGCGAAAUUCCUUGUCGGGUAAGUUCCGACCUGCACGAAUGGCAUAAUGAUGGCCAGGCUGUCUCCACCCGAGACUCAGUGAAAUUGAAAUCGCCGUGAAGAUGCGGUGUACCCGCGGCUAGACGGAAAGACCCCGUGAACCUUUACUAUAGCUUGACACUGAACAUUGAAUUUUGAUGUGUAGGAUAGGUGGGAGACUUUGAAGUAGUCACGCCAGUGAUUAUGGAGUCGUCCUUGAAAUACCACCCUUUAACGUUUGAUGUUCUAACGAAGAUUACGAAACGUGGUCUCGGACAGUGUCUGGUGGGUAGUUUGACUGGGGCGGUCUCCUCCCAAAGAGUAACGGAGGAGCACGAAGGUUUGCUAAUGACGGUCGGACAUCGUCAGGUUAGUGCAAUGGUAUAAGCAAGCUUAACUGCGAGACAGACAAGUCGAGCAGGUACGAAAGUAGGUCAUAGUGAUCCGGUGGUUCUGAAUGGAAGGGCCAUCGCUCAACGGAUAAAAGGUACUCCGGGGAUAACAGGCUGAUACCGCCCAAGAGUUCAUAUCGACGGCGGUGUUUGGCACCUCGAUGUCGGCUCAUCACAUCCUGGGGCUGAAGUAGGUCCCAAGGGUAUGGCUGUUCGCCAUUUAAAGUGGUACGCGAGCUGGGUUUAGAACGUCGUGAGACAGUUCGGUCCCUAUCUGCCGUGGGCGCUGGAGAACUGAGGGGGGCUGCUCCUAGUACGAGAGGACCGGAGUGGACGCAUCACUGGUGUUCGGGUUGUCAUGCCAAUGGCACUGCCCGGUAGCUAAAUGCGGAAGAGAUAAGUGCUGAAAGCAUCUAAGCACGAAACUUGCCCCGAGAUGAGUUCUCCCUGACUCCUUGAGAGUCCUGAAGGAACGUUGAAGACGACGACGUUGAUAGGCCGGGUGUGUAAGCGCAGCGAUGCGUUGAGCUAACCGGUACUAAUGAACCGUGAGGCUUAACCUU
This 1007-nucleotide ribosomal RNA is filed under the name human gut metagenome. RNAcentral's name for it is "bacterial LSU rRNA". It matches the Rfam family "Bacterial large subunit ribosomal RNA", at positions 1924 to 2925 of the family's 2925-position model. The record is from RNAcentral.